CCACGCUGUAAACGAUGAAUACUAGGUGUGGGAGGACUGACCCCUUCCGUGCCGCAGUUAACACAAUAAGUAUUCCACCUGGGGAGUACGACCGCAAGGUUGAAACUCAAAGGAAUUGACGGGGGCCCGCACAAGCAGUGGAUUAUGUGGUUUAAUUCGACGCAACGCGAAGAACCUUACCAGGAUUUGACAUCCAACUAACGAAGUAGAGAUACAUUAGGUGCCCUUCGGGGAAAGUUGAGACAGGUGGUGCAUGGUUGU
This 261-nucleotide ribosomal RNA is filed under the name uncultured bacterium. RNAcentral's name for it is "partial 16S ribosomal RNA". It matches the Rfam family "Bacterial small subunit ribosomal RNA", at positions 795 to 1052 of the family's 1533-position model. The record is from RNAcentral.